UUGGAGGGCAAGUCUGGUGCCAGCAGCCGCGGUAAUUCCAGCUCCAAUAGCGUAUAUUAAAGUUGUUGCAGUUAAAAAGCUCGUAGUUGAAUUUCGGGAUCAAUAUUUCGGUCAUGCUGUUGGUAUGCACUGUUAUCAUCGAUUUCUCACCUUCUAAAGAACCGUAAUGCCAUUAAUUUGGUGUUACGGGGAAUUAGGACUGUUACCUUGAAAAAAUUAGAGUGUUUAAAGCAGGCUCACGCUUGAAUACAUUAGCAUGGAAUAAUGAAAUAGGACAUCCGAUUCUAUUUUGUUGGUUUCUAGGAUCGAUGUAAUGAUUAAUAGGGAUAGUUGGGGGCAUUAGUAUUCAAUUGUCAGAGGUGAAAUUCUUGGAUUUAUUGAAGACUAACUACUGCGAAAGCAUUUGCCAAGGAUGUUUUCAUUAAUCAAGAACGAAAGUUAGGGGAUCGAAGACGAUCAGAUACCGUCGUAGUCUUAACCAUAAACUAUGCCGACUAGGGAUCGGAUGAUGUUAAUUUUUUAAUGACUCAUUCGGCGCCUUACGGGAAACCAAAGUGUUUGGGUUC
Molecule: ribosomal RNA, 566 nt
Filed under: uncultured Glomeromycotina
Lineage: Eukaryota; Fungi; Glomeromycota
Description: SSU rRNA
Rfam family: Eukaryotic small subunit ribosomal RNA
Source: RNAcentral